GACGAACGCUGGCGGCGUGCCUAAUACAUGCAAGUAGAACGCUGAAGAGAGGAGCUUGCUCUUCUUGGAUGAGUUGCGAACGGGUGAGUAACGCGUAGGUAACCUGCCUUGUAGCGGGGGAUAACUAUUGGAAACGAUAGCUAAUACCGCAUAACAAUGGAUGACACAUGUCAUUUAUUUGAAAGGGGCAAUUGCUCCACUACAAGAUGGACCUGCGUUGUAUUAGCUAGUAGGUGAGGUAAUGGCUCACCUAGGCGACGAUACAUAGCCGACCUGAGAGGGUGAUCGGCCACACUGGGACUGAGACACGGCCCAGACUCCUACGGGAGGCAGCAGUAGGGAAUCUUCGGCAAUGGGGGCAACCCUGACCGAGCAACGCCGCGUGAGUGAAGAAGGUUUUCGGAUCGUAAAGCUCUGUUGUAAGUCAAGAACGGGUGUGAGAGUGGAAAGUUCACACUGUGACGGUAGCUUACCAGAAAGGGACGGCUAACUACGUGCCAGCAGCCGCGGUAAUACGUAGGUCCCGAGCGUUGUCCGGAUUUAUUGGGCGUAAAGCGAGCGCAGGCGGUUUGAUAAGUCUGAAGUUAGAGGCUGUGGCUCAACCAUAGUUCGCUUUGGAAACUGUCAAACUUGAGUGCAGAAGGGGAGAGUGGAAUUCCAUGUGUAGCGGUGAAAUGCGUAGAUAUAUGGAGGAACACCGGUGGCGAAAGCGGCUCUCUGGUCUGUAACUGACGCUGAGGCUCGAAAGCGUGGGGAGCGAACAGGAUUAGAUACCCUGGUAGUCCACGCCGUAAACGAUGAGUGCUAGGUGUUGGAUCCUUUCCGGGAUUCAGUGCCGCAGCUAACGCAUUAAGCACUCCGCCUGGGGAGUACGACCGCAAGGUUGAAACUCAAAGGAAUUGACGGGGGCCCGCACAAGCGGUGGAGCAUGUGGUUUAAUUCGAAGCAACGCGAAGAACCUUACCAGGUCUUGACAUCCCGAUGCUAUUUCUAGAGAUAGAAAGUUACUUCGGUACAUCGGUGACAGGUGGUGCAUGGUUGUCGUCAGCUCGUGUCGUGAGAUGUUGGGUUAAGUCCCGCAACGAGCGCAACCCCUAUUGUUAGUUGCCAUCAUUCAGUUGGGCACUCUAGCGAGACUGCCGGUAAUAAACCGGAGGAAGGUGGGGAUGACGUCAAAUCAUCAUGCCCCUUAUGACCUGGGCUACACACGUGCUACAAUGGUUGGUACAACGAGGUGCGAGUCGGUGACGGCGAGCUAAUCUCUUAAAGCCAAUCUCAGUUCGGAUUGUAGGCUGCAACUCGCCUACAUGAAGUCGGAAUCGCUAGUAAUCGCGGAUCAGCACGCCGCGGUGAAUACGUUCCCGGGCCU
RNAcentral lists this ribosomal RNA (1369 nucleotides) under uncultured bacterium. RNAcentral describes it as "bacterial SSU rRNA". It matches the Rfam family "Bacterial small subunit ribosomal RNA", at positions 28 to 1381 of the family's 1533-position model. The record is from RNAcentral.